This 679-nucleotide ribosomal RNA is filed under the name bacterium Sc22. RNAcentral describes it as "partial 16S ribosomal RNA". It matches the Rfam family "Bacterial small subunit ribosomal RNA", at positions 75 to 780 of the family's 1533-position model. The record is from RNAcentral.
CGGUUGCCUUCGGGGAUUAGUGGCAGCACGGGUGAGUAACGCGUGGGAAGCUACCUUGNCGGUACGGAACAACAGUUGGAAACGACUGCUAAUACCNUAUGAGCCCUAUGGGGGAAAGAUUUAUCGCCNUNAGAUGUGCCCGCGUUAGAUUAGCUAGUNGGUAAGGUAAUGGCUUACCAAGGCGACGAUCUAUAGCUGGUCUGAGAGGAUGAUCANCCCACACUGGGACUGAGACACGGCCCANACUCCUACGGGAGGCAGCAGUGGGGAAUAUUGGACAAUGGGGGCAACCCUGAUCCAGCCAUGCCGCGUGAGUGAUGACGGCCNUAGGGUUGUAAAGCUCUUUCAGCAGNGAAGAUAAUGACAUUAACUGCAGAAGAAGCCCCGGCUAACUUCNUGCCAGCAGCCGCNGUAAUACGNAGGGGGCUAGCGUUGUUCGGAAUCACUGGGCGUAAAGCGNACGUAGGCGGACUGAUCAGUCAGGGGUGAAAUCCCGGGGCUCAACCNCGGAACUGCCUUUGAUACUGUCAGUCUUGAGAUCGAGAGAGGUGAGUGGAACUCCCGAGNGUAGAGGUGAAAUUCNUAGAUAUUCGGAAGAACACCAGGUGGCGAANGCGGCUCACUGGCUCGAUACUGACGCCUGAGGUACCAAAAGCGUUGGNGAGCCAAACAGGGAUUA